AACUUUCAGCAACGGAUCUCUUGGCUCUCGCAUCGAUGAAGAACGCAGCGAAAUGCGAUAAGUAAUGUGAAUUGCAGAAUUCAGUGAAUCAUCGAAUCUUUGAACGCACCUUGCACUCCUUGGUAUUCCGAGGAGUAUGCCUGUUUGAGCGUCA
RNAcentral lists this ribosomal RNA (154 nucleotides) under Boletopsis grisea. RNAcentral's name for it is "5.8S ribosomal RNA". It matches the Rfam family "5.8S ribosomal RNA". Rfam says of the family: 5.8S ribosomal RNA (5.8S rRNA) is a component of the large subunit of the eukaryotic ribosome. It is transcribed by RNA polymerase I as part of the 45S precursor that also contains 18S and 28S rRNA. The record is from RNAcentral. Lineage: Eukaryota; Fungi; Basidiomycota; Agaricomycetes; Thelephorales; Thelephoraceae.